GGCGGCUUGUGGUAGAGAAAUGAACAUUACCAAACUCUCUAAAAGAUCGUUUAGAGGCGGCUUGUGGUAGAGAAAUGAACAUUACCAAACUCUGUAAAACGACGUUUAGAGGUGGCUUGUGGUAGAGAAAUGAACAUGACCAAACUCUCGAAAAGAACGUUUAGAGGCGGCUUGUGGUAGAGAAAUGAACAUUACCAAACUGUAAAACGACGUUUAGAGGUGGCUUGUGGUAGAGAAAUGAACAUGACCAAACUCUCUAAAACAACAUUUAGAGGCGGCUUGUGGUAGAGAAAUGAACAUUACCAAACUCUCUAAAACAACGUUUAGAGGUGGCUUGUGGUAGAGAAAUGAACAUGACCAAACUCUGUAAAACAACAUUUAGAGGCUGGUUGUGGUAGAGAAAUGAACAUGACCAAACUCUGUAAAACGACGUUUAGAGGCGGCUUGUGGUAGAGAAAUUAACAUUACCAAACUCUGUAAAACGACGUUUAGAGGCGGCUUGUGGUAGAGAAAUGAAUAUGACCAAACUCUCUAAAACGACGUUGAGAGGCGGCUUGUGGUAGAGAAAUGAACAUUACCAAACUCUGUAAAAUGAUGUUUAGAGGCGGCUUGUGGUAGAGAAAUUAACAUUACCAAACUCUCUAAAACAACAUUUAGAGGCGGCUUGUGGUAGAGAAAUGAACAGCUCUGGGGGACAUUCCUACAGUCAGCAUGCCAGUUACACGCUCCCUCACAACUCGCAGCCCAUGUGUCAGCUGAAGUUGACAGAUUUUUGAUGGGGAUUUUUGAAUAUGUUACUGACUCUAUUAAAUACUAAUCUUAACUGUUACGGUGAUGAUGAUGUAAUGACCUGAAUUCCUAGGAUCCCAUAGCAACCGUCACCUCGGUAACCAGUAAACCCAAAAGCAAGUGGAGGCCACUGCCCCUGGACACAGUGGAAAUGGAGAAGCUGGUUUCCAGGAAGUUGAGAAUCGGCGCCAAAGAGACCAUGAAGAUCGCUGAGAAACUAUACACACAGGGGUUAAUCAGUUAUCCGCGCACAGAGACCAACCUGUUUCCUAAGGACCUGGCCCUGGGCCCCCUGGUGGAGCAU
This is a long non-coding RNA of Oncorhynchus nerka (sockeye salmon), 1093 nucleotides long. RefSeq lists it as uncharacterized. The transcript has 3 exons. The record is from RefSeq and is a predicted model, not a curated record. NCBI's taxonomy places the organism in Eukaryota, Metazoa, Chordata, Actinopteri, Salmoniformes, Salmonidae.